CGCGUAGGCGGACUUUCAAGUCGGAUGUGAAAUCUCUGGGCUUAACUCAGAGCGUGCAUCCGAUACUGUUGGUCUUGAGUAUAUCAGAGGAAAGCGGAAUUCCAGGUGUAGCGGUGAAAUGCGUAGAUAUCUGGAAGAACACCAGUAGCGAAGGCGGCUUUCUGGGGUAAUACUGACGCUGAAGCGCGAAGGCUAGGGGAGCAAACA
Molecule: ribosomal RNA, 207 nt
Filed under: uncultured bacterium
Lineage: Bacteria
Description: partial 16S ribosomal RNA
Rfam family: Bacterial small subunit ribosomal RNA
Source: RNAcentral